UAAAUCGUUAGAUGUAAAAUUGAAUUAAUGCUGAAAUUAUACCCGGGCCUAUGCCUUUGCUGCCCAUGUGACAGGAUUGAAUGAAUGACAAACUGAGAUUUGAAAAUGAGUUUUUUAUCCAACACCAUGGAAGAAAAGAUCAAUGUCUCUUGUUUAAUAUGUGCUGACAAUUGUCUUUUGAUUUAUGGGCAGUCAUUAGCUGAGGUUGAAAAAUCACGGGCUCGUCAUUUUUUUCAUGGAAACAUGUGGACUGAAGUUGGUACCAAUCAAUGUGAUGGGACUGAAAUAUUUAUAUUGGAAGUAGUAAUUAGUGUGAUGACACCAUGAAUUAAUAGCUCAAAGACACAUUGAAUUAAUGGUCAAAAUCAGAAUUUUGAAGCAUUUGACUGGAUCCUGGAAUAUGGCCCACUUCCAUUGGUAUGUACCUUUUGCAAACAAUAUUCAUUUCUCUUUGUGUUCUUAUGUUUAUUCAAUAAAGCUAAUGUCUAUUUUUAACUUAUUAUAACUGCAAAACAGCAUUUUACAUGUUUGGUAUUCAUUUAACCAAGGUCCAAGUUAAGGCUUUGUUGCCGAGGAAAGCUUUAUAAAAUGAAUCUGACAAUGACCACAUGUGUGUAUCCACAUUUGGAUUGUUAAAAUUAAUCUUCCUUACACUAAUGAUUUAUUUAUAUACUAUAGAUGAAAUCGUAAAGCCAGAUGGGUGAUUGCAAAUGCUUUCAUAACUUCGAAGCCAAUAAAUUAAUGCCCCCAUUAUAUUUAAUGUUACUCAUUUAUUACAGUUUUGAUAUAAUGCAGAGUGUUGACAAUUGAUUAGUUCUAGUGCCUGUUUGAUGUGUAAUUAUAAGAUGCAGGUCCUGCGGAAUGUGUGGAUGGUAAGUGGGUAGUAAUUGUGUGGGGAUAAAAAUUAUGUUUGACCAGAAAUGAUUAAACUAUAUUCACUUCCCAAACAUGCUAGUGUCCACAAACGUUUGAUCGGUGAAAAUAAAGUAUUUUUGUGAACUUAAUUAAUGCAGAAUCAACACUUGGGUCAUUGGUUUGAGAUCUGAAAUUGAAAUUGUUUAAAUUAAAAUCUCCAUGGAAAAAUAUCAAUCUCCCCUGUUUAAUCUAUUCCGACUAGUAUCAUUUGGUUUUUUGAUAUUUAUGAGAGAUUAAUUAUUGGCUGUGAUUUGCAGUGGGUGAACAAUAUAUGGAGGAAUGAAGGUGGCAGAUACCAAUGUAUUUUUGCGAAUGGUAGCCUGAAUAGUCGAAAUCAAUGUGAUGAGCUGAAUAUAUUUUGAUUGAGAGCCAAAAUCAUUGUGAUGACACUAUGUAUUAAAAGCUCAAAGUUAUGUCCCUGAAAAUUUUACAACAUUUGAUUUGGUCCUGGUCUUUGGCCUUCCUUAAUUGGUAAGUACAUAAUCAGUAUUUUUUUUCAUUUUUGAUAUUAUCCAUGUUCUUGUUCAACAAAGGGUGAAUUAAGAUAUGCUAUGCUACAUUCUGCUAGUAUUUCACCUCUUCUAGCAGUCUGGAUUAAGUUCAUAUGUGAUACUUCCGUCUAAUUUGUUGUCUGGUGCACUGAGUCGAUGAAUUUUUUCCAAUUGAGCCUCUUAAAAAUGCAUAUGUAGAUGUUUAGAGUUCUGUACUGAAAGAAAUCUUUAUACAAACUAAUUUUUCUUAUAUCGGUUGUACUCUAAUAAUCAGUUAACUUG
This 1688-nucleotide long non-coding RNA is filed under the name Olea europaea subsp. europaea. Lineage: Eukaryota; Viridiplantae; Streptophyta; Magnoliopsida; Lamiales; Oleaceae. The record is from RNAcentral.